RNAcentral lists this ribosomal RNA (404 nucleotides) under uncultured bacterium. RNAcentral describes it as "bacterial SSU rRNA". It matches the Rfam family "Bacterial small subunit ribosomal RNA", at positions 355 to 775 of the family's 1533-position model. The record is from RNAcentral.
UAGGGAAUAUUGGACAAUGGGCGAAAGCCUGAUCCAGCAACGCCGCGUGUGCGAUGACGGCCUUCGGGUUGUAAAGCACUUUUAGAGGAGAUGAGAAAGGACAGUAUCCUCUGAAUAAGCCUCGGCGAACUACGUGCCAGCAGCCGCGGUAAAACGUAGGAGGCUAGCGUUAUCCGGAUUUAUUGGGCGUAAAGCGCGUGCAGGCGGUUUAUCAAGUUGGAUGUGAAAGCUCCUGGCUUAACUGGGAGAGGUCGUUCAAAACUGAUAGACUAGAGAAUGGUAGAGGGAGGUGGAAUUCCGGGUGUAGUGGUGAAAUGCGUAGAUAUCCGGAGGAACACCAGUGGCGAAAGCGGCCUCCUGGGCCAUUUCUGACGCUAAGACGCGAAAGCUAGGGUAGCAAACGG